CGGCCGCGUCGACGCAAACACGAAAGUGGACGUAUAGGGUGUGAUGCCUGCCCGGUGCCGGAAGGUUAAUUGAUGGGGUUAGCGCAAGCGAAGCUCUUGAUCGAAGCCCCGGUAAACGGCGGCCGUAACGAUAACGGUCCUAAGGUAGCGAGAUUCCUUGUCGGGUAAGUUCCGACCUGCACGAAUGGCGUAACGAUGGCGGCGCUGUCUCCACCC
This 216-nucleotide ribosomal RNA is filed under the name uncultured bacterium. RNAcentral's name for it is "partial 23S ribosomal RNA". It matches the Rfam family "Bacterial large subunit ribosomal RNA", at positions 1813 to 2026 of the family's 2925-position model. The record is from RNAcentral.